Molecule: transfer RNA, 49 nt
Filed under: Unionicola foili
Lineage: Eukaryota; Metazoa; Arthropoda; Arachnida; Trombidiformes; Unionicolidae
Description: tRNA-Val
Source: RNAcentral
UUAACAGUUUAUUUGACUUACAAUCAAAAAAAGCUUUUGCACUGUUAAA